This 496-nucleotide ribosomal RNA is filed under the name uncultured bacterium. RNAcentral's name for it is "partial 16S ribosomal RNA". It matches the Rfam family "Bacterial small subunit ribosomal RNA", at positions 29 to 507 of the family's 1533-position model. The record is from RNAcentral.
AUGAACGCUGGCGGCGUGCCUAAUACCUGCAAGUCGAGCGAACAGAUGAGGAGCUUGCUCCUCUGACGUUAGCGGCGGACGGGUGAGUAACCCGUGGAUAACCUACCUAUAAGACUGGGAUAACUUCGGGAAACCGGAGCUAAUACCGGAUAAUAUAUUGAACCGCAUGGUUCAAUAGUGAAAGACGGUUUUGCUGUCACUUAUAGAUGGAUCCGCGCCGCAUUAGCUAGUUGGUAAGGUAACGGCUUACCAAGGCAACGAUGCGUAGCCGACCUGAGAGGGUGAUCGGCCACACUGGAACUGAGACACGGUCCAGACUCCUACGGGAGGCAGCAGUAGGGAAUCUUCCGCAAUGGGCGAAAGCCUGACGGAGCAACGCCGCGUGAGUGAUGAAGGUCUUCGGAUCGUAAAACUCUGUUAUUAGGGAAGAACAAAUGUGUAAGUAACUAUGCACGUCUUGACGGUACCUAAUCAGAAAGCCACGGCUAACUACGUG